ACUUUCAAAUUUUGCAUAGUAAAAAUUUUCUUACUUUUAAUUGUUGAUUUUUCGGUUAGAAACUGACGUAAACAGUUCUCGCAUGAUGCUUAGUUAAUAUUUUUCUUUCAUCUCUUAUGUAAAAUUAUUUUCUCUACACGUGAAAAAUUAGUUUGUUUACAGAGAGAAAAAUGAUUCAAUUUAUACAUGGCUUGAGAGAGAAAAGAGAAAUACUGACUAAGUUCCAUGCUGGAACUGUCCAGAUCAGCGCCUAAUUGAAAAACUAGUAAUUUGAGGUUGGAUAGAUUUUACUAUGCAAAAUUUGAAAAUUUAGGGGAUUUUAUGUUACAUUUUAAAGUUAA
This 341-nucleotide unclassified non-coding RNA is filed under the name Hevea brasiliensis (rubber tree). The record is from RNAcentral. Lineage: Eukaryota; Viridiplantae; Streptophyta; Magnoliopsida; Malpighiales; Euphorbiaceae.